UCCCGGUGGGGCGGCCGCCCUCGGGCUGGCGGAGGCGCCGGAGGAGCCCCCGAGCUGCAGCCGUCUCCCUCGGGCUGCUGCCGGUGCUGCGGGCGGAGGCGGCUCCGCCGCGUGUUGGGCGCUGCGAGCAGGGAGCGCUGCGGUAUCGCCGGCACGACGGGGCUGCUGCCUGCGUUAGUGCUCGUGGCUCUUUUUGCCAUGAAAACGGAGGGUUUACUGAGCGGUAAAGCCAGAGAUGGCCGGGAGAAUGCCCAGCGCAGGGAGCGGGCGGGCUGUAUGCUUGGGAUGGCACAGGUGCGAUCUGCAAAGUCACCCCCCCUUCCGCCCCUGCCCUCCCGAGCCCCAGGGAAAAUGCUUUCCAGCAUUGUCGAGCUUCUGAAAGACAAAACUUGUGAUUUGACACUUGCAUCCAGAAAAGGUUUCUGUCUCGAUUAGCAAAUGCCUAAAUUGUUCUUGGUUACAUCCCAUGACCGGUUUUAGGCAGUGACUUUAUACUGCUUUUAGGAUUUUCUUGUACAAUGGUGAGAAAAUAGGCAGGUCUGAUACUGGUUUCACUAUUUUUCUACUUCACGUUCCAUGAGAUUCUUUCAUCCAAGCACUUGUAUUAAAAUUCUACUGUAAGCGUUUAUGGUUCACUUUUUUUUUUCUUUGCCGCACCCGUGACUUUUUUUUUCCUCUAAAUCGGCAGUAAAUAUAGCUGAGUAAAAUUACCUUGGUUUUCUUCCUUCUUUUUUAACUGAAUUGUUUUUAUUAAUAAUUCUACUUGAUUAUGCAGAAAAAGUGGGUAUGUCCUGUAAUCUGUCCUAGCUUUUCUUGUUUACGGUGUACUCCCUUGGAGUCCCACAAAAACAUUCUGGGUGCAAAGGUAUGUGUUUACAUAGAAGUGAUCAGUUUAGAUAUUUGUCUGUGUACCUUUUCCUGUAAUUCAGAGCUUGCGUUCUGUGUUUUUUAUGAUAAACCUAUGGGACAUGUAAAAAUGGUUUUGCAAGUCUGAAUCGUUGAAGGCAGCAAUAAGUGAAUUUAGAGCCUGUUGUUGACCAGACAAAGGGAAAAAGUGUGACUUUGUUGCUGAACUCGUCAUUUUUCAUUUGACUUGCCUUGAAUUAUUGAAGAAGAGAGAGAACUAGGAAAAGAGAGAAAUAGAAUUAGUUAUUGAGCACUCCUAAAAAGCUCACCGUGAUUCUGUGUAGAGCCAAAGUGAAGGAUGAUGGAACAGAGCUCUGUGCAUUAGAAGGAAAUAAACCUGAUCUCCACACAGAGUCUUACUAAUUUCUGUUUUUAAAAUGCAAAAUAAGUUUAGGAAGUGUUGCAAGUUAGUAUCUGGGGAAAGAAAUGGCAGUUCCACAAAACAUUCCAUUUAAGAGAGGCCCUUGGAAUGAUUCAUUUUGUAACCGCUGUCACUGCAGUCGGUUGGUGGUUCAGCCUUGAAAUGUGUUCUUGCCCUUCUAUAAAGCACUGUUUCGUUUGCCUUUCAGUGCUAUGAGUCUUGAUAAAUUGGAGAAGCGCCCAAGAGAAAUUCAUCCUCCUGCGAUACAAAAGGAUUUAUUGGUUCAUGAAGAGCAAGAGCUCCUGGUCGGCUAACGAGCGAAUGUCUGCGUGACCUCUGUCAUGGAGCCAUUUCUCCACACUAUACUAUCAAAGUUUAAAGGGAUCGGUGAAUUUUAACUUUGGAGUCCCCUAUGCUAAGGAUGCUCAGCUUACAGGUGAUGAAAUGUUCAGUAAUGUAUUUGCUGCAGCUCUGCUUACCCAAGCUUUGGGUUCCUUCUGUCCCACGGGGAGUUGCCCAGUUUGGUUGCAUCUGGUGAAAUUCACCCUGAGACCUUACAGAACCAGCUCCAACUACGUGAGAGCCAUUUGCAGUUCUCUCCAGACACCUGGAGAAUGGGCGACGUUUCUGAGGAUCCGGCGAGCGUGCUUCUAUCAAAACUCAGUCUGUGAAAUUUCUGGGGAAAACCCUUCUGUGUCCUGAAGGGUUCAAACUCUGGUGAGGAUCCAGUUAUCAGGUGCUCACCUGGAUGGUUCCAGCUGCCAAAGGUAACACUUGUACUCUUGCCCUGUAGUUUACAUCUAUUGUAUUUUUGUUAUUUUGCAGGAUUUUUUGUCUUUGCAAAAUAUUGUGCAUUUCACUCUUUGGAACCUCUCAGAUGGUUCUUUGGUGCAGCACCACCCCAUGGGACACUUGGCUGCUGUCCUGAAGGGGUUGGUCGCUAGAAUUGUGAAUCCUGGAGAGUUUAUAAAUCUUCUGUCCCCAGGGAGGUAUCAUGCUUUGUUUACUUUUGUUCUGUUGGUUAGGUGCUGCUUCUCGUUGCAAGUACGAAUUUCAAACUGCCCUGUUCUUAUUUUAACUGUUUUCCUGGUUCUCUCCGUCCGGCAGGGAAAGACUCUCGUAUCCUUGUCGUCGGGCUCGGUGCUGUCCAAGAAGAUACAGAGACUAAAAAAAUCAUAAGAAGCAAAAUACGACUGCAGGGAAAAGGAGCUGGAGAGAACAGAAGACUCAUCACGGCGGGACAGCGUGAGGACUGAAAGUGUAAGAAGAUGUGGAGGGAAACAGAGAAUCUGACAGGAGCAGCGAACGCACGAGUGCACGAAUUUUGCUUUUUGCUUGGAUGUAAACUCAGGAGUUGAAAGGAAUUUGGGAGUGAGAAGGGACAUUUCAGAAGGAGAAGAAGAAAAAGAAGUUGUUGUUGUUGUUGCUACAGUCCUGGCAAAAGCUUUUGUUCUAGCUAAUAAAAGAAGUUAGUU
Melospiza georgiana is the source of this 2742-nucleotide long non-coding RNA. RefSeq lists it as uncharacterized. NCBI's taxonomy places the organism in Eukaryota, Metazoa, Chordata, Aves, Passeriformes, Passerellidae. The record is from RefSeq and is a predicted model, not a curated record. The transcript is spliced from 6 exons.